UAUUAAAAAUUUCAUCAAUUGCUACUAUUAUAAACUGGUGCGACUGACAAAAUAACUAGACAAUUACAUGUGAUAUGCCAUGUGUACCUCAUGCUAACAUACAUGUAUCAAUUUUUAAUAGUAGAAAUGGAUGAAUUUUUUAACA
Gossypium raimondii (Peruvian cotton) is the source of this 145-nucleotide non-coding RNA. The record is from Rfam. Lineage: Eukaryota; Viridiplantae; Streptophyta; Magnoliopsida; Malvales; Malvaceae.